This 325-nucleotide ribosomal RNA is filed under the name uncultured eukaryote. Its description in RNAcentral is "partial 18S ribosomal RNA". It matches the Rfam family "Eukaryotic small subunit ribosomal RNA", at positions 1470 to 1796 of the family's 1831-position model. The record is from RNAcentral.
CCCUUAGAUGUUCUGGGCCGCACGCGUGCUACACUGAGUGGAUCAGCGGGUCAGGUUGCGCGAAAGCGUUUCCUAAUCUUUAAAUCCGCUCGUGAUGGGGAUUGACGGUUGCAAUUUUCUGUCAUGAACGAGGAAUACCUUGUAAGCGCGGGUCAUCAUCCCGCGCUGAAUACGUCCCUGCCCUUUGUACACACCGCCCGUCGCUCCUACCGAUUGAAUGGUUUAGUGAGAUCUCCGGAUUGGCUCUGUAGGUCCCGCAAGGGAUUUAUUAGUAGCCAAGAAGCUGCUCAAACUUGAUCAUUUAGAGGAAGUAAAAGUCGUAACA